Molecule: ribosomal RNA, 544 nt
Filed under: uncultured bacterium
Lineage: Bacteria
Description: bacterial SSU rRNA
Rfam family: Bacterial small subunit ribosomal RNA
Source: RNAcentral
AAUAGAUACCCAGGUAGUCCACGCCGUAAACGAUGGAUGCUAGCUGUUAUGCGUAUCGACCCGUGUAGUAGCGAAGCUAACGCGUUAAGCAUCCCGCCUGGGGAGUACGAACGCAAGUUUAAAACUCAAAGGAAUUGACGGGGACCCGCACAAGCGGUGGAGCGUGUUCUUUAAUUCGAGGCUAAGCGAAGAACCUUACCAGGGCUUGACAUCCUUGGAAUUUCUCCGAAAGGAGAGAGUACUUUAUUGGACCAAGUGACAGGUGCUGCAUGGCCGUCGUCAGCUCGUGUCGUGAGAUGUUUGGUUAAGUCCAUUAACGAGCGCAACCCUUAUGAAUAGUUGUAUUUUUCUAUUCAGACUGCCCCGGUAACGGGGAGGAAGGGGGGAUGAUGUCAGGUCAGUAUUGCCCUUACGCCCUGGGCUAGAAACGCGCUACAAUGGCGUACNAAUGCGCUGCAACCCGCAGGGGGAGCAAAUCGCAUCAAAGCGGUCCCAGUUCGGAUAAGAGGCUGAAACUCGCCUCUUUGAAGCCGGAAUCGCUAGU